Molecule: ribosomal RNA, 117 nt
Filed under: Klebsiella pneumoniae
Lineage: Bacteria; Pseudomonadati; Pseudomonadota; Gammaproteobacteria; Enterobacterales; Enterobacteriaceae
Also listed under: 2 other names
Description: partial 16S ribosomal RNA
Rfam family: Bacterial small subunit ribosomal RNA
Source: RNAcentral
AAAUUGAAGAGUUUGAUCAUGGCUCAGAUUGAACGCUGGCGGCAGGCCUAACACAUGCAAGUCGAGCGGUAGCACAGAGAGCUUGCUCUCGGGUGACGAGCGGCGGACGGGUGAGUA